Molecule: ribosomal RNA, 253 nt
Filed under: uncultured bacterium
Lineage: Bacteria
Description: partial 16S ribosomal RNA
Rfam family: Bacterial small subunit ribosomal RNA
Source: RNAcentral
UACGAAGGGGGCUAGCGUUGCUCGGAAUCACUGGGCGUAAAGGGUGCGUAGGCGGCCCUUUAAGUCAGGGGUGAAAUCCUGGAGCUCAACUCCAGAACUGCCUUUGAUACUGAGGAUCUUGAGUUCGGGAGAGGUGAGUGGAACUGCGAGUGUAGAGGUGAAAUUCGUAGAUAUUCGCAAGAACACCAGUGGCGAAGGCGGCUCACUGGCCCGAUACUGACGCUGAGGCACGAAAGCUAGGGGAGCAAACAGG